Molecule: transfer RNA, 73 nt
Filed under: Camelus bactrianus (Bactrian camel)
Lineage: Eukaryota; Metazoa; Chordata; Mammalia; Artiodactyla; Camelidae
Also listed under: 2 other names
Rfam family: tRNA
About the family: Transfer RNA (tRNA) molecules are approximately 80 nucleotides in length. Their secondary structure includes four short double-helical elements and three loops (D, anti-codon, and T loops). Further hydrogen bonds mediate the characteristic L-shaped molecular structure. tRNAs have two regions of fundamental functional importance: the anti-codon, which is responsible for specific mRNA codon recognition, and the 3' end, to which the tRNAs corresponding amino acid is attached (by aminoacyl-tRNA synthetases). tRNAs cope with the degeneracy of the genetic code in two manners: having more than one tRNA (with a specific anti-codon) for a particular amino acid; and 'wobble' base-pairing, i.e. permitting non-standard base-pairing at the 3rd anti-codon position.
Source: Rfam by way of RNAcentral
GUGGGUAUACCUCAAGUGGUAGAGUGCAUGCUUAGCAUGCAUGAGGUCAUGGGCUCAAUCCCCGGUACCUCCU